CUACGGGGGGCUCCAGUGGGGAAUAUUGCACAAUGGGCGCAAGCCUGAUGCAGCCAUGCCGCGUGUAUGAAGAAGGCCUUCGGGUUGUAAAGUACUUUCAGCGGGGAGGAAGGGAGUAAAGUUAAUACCUUUGCUCAUUGACGUUACCCGCAGAAGAAGCACCGGCUAACUCCGUGCCAGCAGCCGCGGUAAUACGGAGGGUGCAAGCGUUAAUCGGAAUUACUAGGCGUAAAGCGCACGCAGGCGGUUUGUUAAGUCAGAUGUGAAAUCCCCGGGCUCAACCUGGGAACUGCAUCUGAUACUGGCAAGCUUGAGGCUCGUAGAGGGGGGUAGAAUUCCAGGUGUAGCGGUGAAAUGCGUAGAGAUCUGGAGGAAUACCGGUGGCGAAGGCGGCCCCCUGGACGAAGACUGACGCUCAGGUGCGAAAGCGUGGGGAGCAAACAGGAUUAGAUACCCGCGUAGUC
RNAcentral lists this ribosomal RNA (464 nucleotides) under uncultured bacterium. RNAcentral's name for it is "partial 16S ribosomal RNA". It matches the Rfam family "Bacterial small subunit ribosomal RNA", at positions 339 to 795 of the family's 1533-position model. The record is from RNAcentral.